RNAcentral lists this ribosomal RNA (443 nucleotides) under uncultured bacterium. Its description in RNAcentral is "partial 16S ribosomal RNA". It matches the Rfam family "Bacterial small subunit ribosomal RNA", at positions 338 to 795 of the family's 1533-position model. The record is from RNAcentral.
CCUACGGGUGGCAGCAGUGGGGAAUAUUGGGCAAUGGGCGCAAGCCUGACCCAGCAACGCCGCGUGAAGGAAGAAGGCCCUCGGGUUGGAAACCUCUUUUUUCAAGGACGAAACAAAUGACGCUACUUGAUGAAUCAGCCACGGCUAACUACUUGCCAGCAGCCGCGGUAAUACGUAGGUGGCAAGCGUUAUCCGGAUUUACUGGGUGUAAAGGGCGUGUAGGCGGGAAGGGAAGGCAGAUGUGAAAAACAUGGGCUCAACCCAUGUCGUGCAGUUGAAACUGUAGUUCUUGAGUGUUGGAGAGGCAGGCGGAAUGCGGUGUGUAGCGGUGAAAUGCGUAGAUAUAAGGAGGAACACCAGUGGCGAAGGCGGCCUGCUGGAGCAUAACUGACGCUGAGGCGCGAAAGCGUGGGGAGCAAACAGGAUUAGAUACCCGAGUAGUC